This 254-nucleotide ribosomal RNA is filed under the name uncultured bacterium. Its description in RNAcentral is "partial 16S ribosomal RNA". It matches the Rfam family "Bacterial small subunit ribosomal RNA", at positions 524 to 776 of the family's 1533-position model. The record is from RNAcentral.
UACGUAGGGGGCAAGCGUUGUCCGGAUUCAUUGGGCGUAAAGAGCUCGUAGGCGGCUUGGCAAGUCGGGUGUGAAACCUCCAGGCUCAACCUGGAGACGCCACCCGAUACUGCCAUGGCUAGAGUCCGGUAGGGGACCACGGAAUUCCUGGUGUAGAGGUGAAAUUCGUAGAUAUUGGGAAGAACACCGGUGGCGAAGGCGGGUCUCUGGGCCGAUACUGACGCUGAGGAGCGAAAGCGUGGGGAGCGAACAGG